GCGUUCCAAAUCCCAGACCUGGUGCGUGCCGGCUCCGUAUGCUCCUCCUGGCGCUCCGCCUACGAAACCCUGCGCAACCUCGGGUUGUACAACCAGUCCCAGACGCCAUGCCUGCUCUACACCUCCGAGUCCGACGGCGAGAGCACCGCGCGUCUCUACAGCCUCGUGGAGAAGAAGGCCUACAGGCUGACCCUCCCGGACCCGCCCAUCCGCACCAGGUCUCUGAUCGGGUCCUCCCCUGAAGGUUUGCUGGUUACAGCCGAUGACAGGUCCGAGAUGCAUCUUCUCAACCCCAUCACAGGUCAACAGAUCGCCCUCCCGUCGGUGAUCACCAUCCGGCAGGUGAGCCCCAUCUACGACGACUCCGGCGUCCUCCGCAUGUACAGAUACUCGGCCCGCACUAGGCAUACCGUUCUCGCGCUGCCAGCAAACCUUGCUCUUAGCGAGCUGCGCCACCAACUCCAUCACAAGGCCUUUGUGUUUCCUCUUUCUCAUGACGAUGCAUCCUUAGAAGAAGCAGGAGGACACGUUGUGGUGCUGAUCCACAACCCGUCUUGCCAGCUCUCCUUUGCAAGGGCAGGGGCCGAGAGCUGGACCUGGCUGCCACCACACACCUCCUACGACGACUGCAUGUACAAGGAUGGCCUCAUGCAUGCGGUGACUUCAUGGGGAGAAAUCCAUGGCUUCGAUCUUGCCAGCCCUGCCCCUGUGGCCACCAUGAAGAUCGUUAUGGAGGGGCCAAUGACUUAUAGAUAUCUUAGUAUGUACAUCAUACAAGCCCCAUGGGGUGAUCUUCUCCAGGUUUGGAGAAAAUUUGGGGAUUGUGAUUUAGGAGAUACACCCCAGUCAUCUGUGUUUUGGACUACGGGCAAAAUUAGAGUAUAUAAAGUUGAUGCCGCGGCGAACGAACUCGAGAGAACCAGUUCCUUGCGCGGCCAUGCGUUGUUCCUUGGGCAUAAUCAGUCGCUUUGUCUUCGUACCGAAGAAUACCCGUCUCUUAAGGCGAACCAUGCCUACUUCACCGACGAUUGCAAGUAUUGGACAAUGGGACUCCAGAAUAAUCGCCGUGAUAUGGGAGUUCUCAACUUGGAUGAUAACAGCAGCGAGGAACUUGUGUCUCCUCGCCUUUGGUCCAACCGUCCGGCCCCCAUAUGGAUUACACCAAAUCUCAGAGAGAUA
This 1179-nucleotide ribosomal RNA is filed under the name Triticum aestivum (bread wheat). RNAcentral describes it as "partial small subunit ribosomal RNA". Lineage: Eukaryota; Viridiplantae; Streptophyta; Magnoliopsida; Poales; Poaceae. The record is from RNAcentral.